This 339-nucleotide long non-coding RNA is filed under the name Citrus sinensis (sweet orange). Its description in RNAcentral is "long non-coding RNA (CSIN_LNC004751)". Lineage: Eukaryota; Viridiplantae; Streptophyta; Magnoliopsida; Sapindales; Rutaceae. The record is from RNAcentral.
CCCAACUUUGUUAUCAAAUUCACACAAUUAUUUGAUACAUGGCCAACAAAAAUCAUACCAAAGGUAGAUUGAAUGAAAACUAAUAAUCUUUCUUCAGUAACAACAGAAAAGGUUUUAUUAAAAUUUUGUUCUCAGAUUCCUACGUACCUUUUUUCCUUCAAAAUCUUACUGUUUACUAUAUCUUACUAACAUUAAAUUGAACAUGAAAACUAAUAAUCUUUCUUCAGUAACAACAGAAAAGGUUUUAUUAAAAUUUUGUUCUCAGAUUCCUAUGUCCCCUUUUUCCUUCAAAAUCUUACUGUUUACUAUAUCUUACUAACAUUAAAUUGAACAUGAAAG